RNAcentral lists this small RNA (586 nucleotides) under Pongo abelii (Sumatran orangutan). RNAcentral's name for it is "retained intron". Lineage: Eukaryota; Metazoa; Chordata; Mammalia; Primates; Hominidae. The record is from RNAcentral.
UAGAAAGAGGAGCUCCAGUCCAAUUGAGACUGGCCAGCCAUCCUCAGCUGUGGGCACAGUGCCUGGUCACGGUGGUCACUCAGCCCUCUCUGUGGCCUGAGCAGGAGGAAGGGGCCGGGACAACUGGCUUUGGUAGCCUGAUGUGCCCUCCUUCUUGUCCCAGGUGGUGAAGGCAUGCAACGAGGGCGUCAGGAAAAUGAGCCGCACGGAACAGAUGAUCAGCAUUCAGAAGAAGAUGGAGUUCAAGAUCAAGUCAGUGCCCAUCAUCUCCCACUCACGCUGGCUGCUGAAGCAGGGUGAGCUGCAGCAGAUGUCAGGCCCCAAGACCUCUCGGACCCUGAGGACCAAGAAGCUCUUCCACGAAAUUUACCUCUUCCUGUUCAACGACCUACUGGUGAUCUGCCGGCAGAUUCCGGGAGACAAGUACCAGGUAUUUGACUCAGCUCCGCGGGGACUGCUGCGCGUGGAGGAGCUGGAGGACCAGGGCCAGACGCUGGCCAACGUGUUCAUCCUGCGGCUGCUGGAGAACGCAGAUGACCGGGAGGCCACCUACAUGCUAAAGGCGUCCUCUCAGAGCGAGAUGAAG